CGGGAAGAGCUCAAAUUUAUAAUCUGGCACCUUCGGUGUCCGAGUUGUAAUCUCUAGAAAUGUUUUCCGCGCUGGACCGCACACAAGUCUGUUGGAAUACAGCGGCAUAGUGGUGAGACCCCCGUAUAUGGUGCGGAUGCCCAGCGCUUUGUGAUACAUUUUCGAAGAGUCGAGUUGUUUGGGAAUGCAGCUCAAAUUGGGUGGUAAAUUCCAUCUAAAGCUAAAUAUUGGCGAGAGACCGAUAGCGAACAAGUACCGUGAGGGAAAGAUGAAAAGCACUUUGGAAAGAGAGUUAACAGUACGUGAAAUUGUUGGAAGGGAAACGCUUGAAGUCAGACUUGCUUGCCGAGCAAUCGGUUUGCAGGCCAGCAUCAGUUUUCCGGGAUGGAUAAUGGUAGAGAGAAGGUAGCAGUUUCGGCUGUGUUAUAGCUCUCUACUGGAUACAUCUUGGGGGACUGAGGAACGCAGUGUGCCUUACGGCGGGGGUUUCGACCUCUUCACACUUAGGAUGCUGGUGGAAUGGCUUUAAACGACCCGUCU
RNAcentral lists this ribosomal RNA (540 nucleotides) under Rhodotorula sp. RNAcentral's name for it is "partial large subunit ribosomal RNA". It matches the Rfam family "Eukaryotic large subunit ribosomal RNA", at positions 99 to 654 of the family's 3401-position model. Lineage: Eukaryota; Fungi; Basidiomycota; Microbotryomycetes; Sporidiobolales; Sporidiobolaceae. The record is from RNAcentral.